CACUGCCCGGUAGCUAAAUGCGGAAGAGAUAAGUGCUGAAAGCAUCUAAGCACGAAACUUGCCCCGAGAUGAGUUCUCCCUGAGACUUUAAGUCUCCUGAAGGAACGUUGAAGACGACGACGUUGAUAGGCCGGGUGUGUAAGCGCAGCGAUGCGUUGAGCUAACCGGUACUAAUGAACCGUGAGGCUUAACCUU
Molecule: ribosomal RNA, 195 nt
Filed under: Escherichia coli
Lineage: Bacteria; Pseudomonadati; Pseudomonadota; Gammaproteobacteria; Enterobacterales; Enterobacteriaceae
Also listed under: 4 other names
Description: partial 23S ribosomal RNA
Rfam family: Bacterial large subunit ribosomal RNA
Source: RNAcentral